Molecule: ribosomal RNA, 433 nt
Filed under: uncultured bacterium
Lineage: Bacteria
Description: partial 16S ribosomal RNA
Rfam family: Bacterial small subunit ribosomal RNA
Source: RNAcentral
AACGAACGCUGGCGGCAGGCUUAACGCAUGCCAGUCGAGCGCAUCCUUCGGGGUGAGCGGCGGACGGGUGAGUAACGCGUGGGAACGUGCCCUCUUCUACGGAAUAGCCUCGGGAAACUGAGAGUAAUGCCGUAUACGCCCGCAAGGGGAAAGAUUUAUCGGAGGAGGAUCGGCCCGCGUUGGAUUAGGUAGUUGGUGGGGUAACGGCCUACCAAGCCGACGAUCCAUAGCUGGUUUGAGAGGAUGAUCAGCCACACUGGGACUGAGACACGGCCCAGACUCCUACGGGAGGCAGCAGUGGGGAAUCUUGGACAAUGGGGGCAACCCUGAUCCAGCCAUGCCGCGUGAUCGAUGAAGGCCUUAGGGUUGUAAAGAUCUUUCAGCUGGGAAGAUAAUGACGGUACCAGCAGAAGAAGCCCCGGCUAACUCCGUG